ACAGCAGCCGCCGCGGGAAAACGGAGGGUGCAAGCGUUAAUCGGAAUUACUGGGCGUAAAGAGUGCGUAGGUGGUUGAUUAAGUUAUCUGUGAAAUCCCUGGGCUCAACCUGGGCAGGUCAGAUAAUACUGGUUAACUCGAGUAUGGGAGAGGGUAGUGGAAUUUCCGGUGUAGCGGUGAAAUGCGUAGAGAUCGGAAGGAACACCAGUGGCGAAGGCGGCUACCUGGCCUAAUACUGACACUGAGGCACGAAAGCGUGGGGAGCAAACAGGAUUAGAUACCCCCGUAGUCCCUGUCUCUUAUAC
Molecule: ribosomal RNA, 305 nt
Filed under: uncultured bacterium
Lineage: Bacteria
Description: partial 16S ribosomal RNA
Rfam family: Bacterial small subunit ribosomal RNA
Source: RNAcentral